UGGGGGUUAUUGCACAAUGGGCGAAAGCCUGAUGCAGCGACGCCGCGUGGGGGAUGAAGGCCUUCGGGUUGUAAACUUCUUUUGCUCUGAACAAGGCGCACCAUGGGGUGUGUUGAGUGUAGGGGUUGAUUAGCGCCGGCUAACUACGUGCCAGCAGCCGCGGUAAUACGUAGGGCGCGAGCGUUGUCCGGAAUUAUUGGGCGUAAAGGGCUUGUAGGUGGCUGGUUGCGUCUGUCGUGAAAGCUCAUGGCUUAACUGUGGGUUUGCGGUGGGUACGGGCUGGCUUGAGUGCAGUAGGGGAGGCUGGAAUUCCUGGUGUAGCGGUGGAAUGCGCAGAUAUCAGGAGGAAUACCGGUGGCGAAGGCGGGUCUCUGGGCUGUUACUGACACUGAGGAGCGAAAGCAUGGGGAGCGAACAGG
This 419-nucleotide ribosomal RNA is filed under the name bacterium. RNAcentral describes it as "partial 16S ribosomal RNA". It matches the Rfam family "Bacterial small subunit ribosomal RNA", at positions 355 to 776 of the family's 1533-position model. The record is from RNAcentral.